This 5233-nucleotide long non-coding RNA is filed under the name Sus scrofa (pig). RNAcentral's name for it is "lncRNA (ENSSSCG00035025472.1)". Lineage: Eukaryota; Metazoa; Chordata; Mammalia; Artiodactyla; Suidae. The record is from RNAcentral.
UUGGCUAUGACUUCAAAAUUGAAAACACAAUGUGUUUGCAGACCUUAUCAGGGAAUUUAAAUCAAAGCUGUGUGGUCCUUUUUCUUCCCACACACCUUUCUUAAGAGGCAGUUUUGACUCAUUUCCUCCUUCUCACUUAGGGAUUUGUUCUGUCCUCAGACACACAGGAAGUCCCCAAGAAAUGAACAGUCUGUCUCUGAAAGGGACAGCAGAGUCCUCAAAGGAACAGCUCCCACCUGGGAAUCGAAGAAUCACAGUGCCCGCUCUUGAUUCUUUAUAGAGAAACAUAGUUGGGGCUAAAUUGUUAGAACGGCCAUAGAACUGCUCUCUGUUUGGGUUCCCGGUAAAGCACAGGAACUUCAGUCAGCAGAGGAGGUGGGUACCUAACCUGGCAAAAUCCAUCUCAUCCUGGGGGCUGGGCACCACCUGCCUCCUCAGAGAAAUUGAAGAGAGCUUUCUUCUGGGUGAGGACCACCAAAGCAUGGCUGCCACACAGGGGACAGAGCCAGGGAAGGUGGAGGGGCGACACCUGUGCAUACUUGUGCACUGGAUCUGAUCUGCCAGUUUGUUAGGAAUGAGGGUGGCAUGUCCCUAAAGUCAUCACAACCAUCCCUAACAUUUAUUUAGUGUUACUCCAGAAGGCUGUUUCUAAAUUAGGAUAAAUUACACACAACAUAACAUUUACCAUUUUAACUAUUUUAAAGCAUGCAACAUGGUGACAUCUAGCACAUUCAUAAUGUUGCAAAGACAUAAUAACCAUCUACUCCCCAAAUUUUCCCAUCAUCCCAACAGAAGCCCCACCUCCACAGCCACCUGAAGCCACUCUCCCUUUUCUCCAUCUAGGGUUAAUAACAGGCUCAGCUACCAAAUCCUAUGUAUGUGCUAGAUUACUACAGUGGUAUCCACUAGCUUGCAACACACUCAAAACUUUUUCUCCAUGCUGCACAAGGCUGAUUUGGUAUGAAAAGACUUCACUGCAGUGGAAAUGCAGGGCAUAGCUAGCUAGGCAGGUACCCGCAUGUCGGCAAUCUUACAAACGUCACAAACAAGAGGCUUCUAGCUUCCUACUACAAAGUGCGUGCCAGUCACUGAAAGAGCACCAGGCCCAAUGGUGGUUUCCACUCCUCUGCUUUCUCUCUAUGGAUAUGCCGAUUCUAGACAUUUCAUUGAAACGGAAUCAUAUGAUGGGGGAGCAGAUGAGAGUGUUUCCAUGAUCUGUGGGUGACCCCAAUCCCGUGGAUGCAACUCUCAGAGGGAAGUUUGGGGGGAGACUUGUGAGGGAUCACUGUAGGCAUCUGGGAUUCUGGGAGGGCUGAAGUUGCAGGGGGAGAGGCUUGAGGAGGGUGCAGAGGUGAGCAGAGGAAGGUCCCUCCUGCUUCUGUGCAAGGCCCAGGGCCCUGUGGACAGUGUGGCACUGGAGCCAUGUGGGGGCCUCUGGACACAUGCACAGAGGUGGGGACAAGCAAUCGAAGAGCAUGGAAAAUCUGUGCCUCACUAAUGAUUCACUGAGCUGUGCAGCCCCACAAAUCAAUCAGCUCAGAAUCUGGUUGGGUGACUGUUCUCCCCCAGGCCCUGCCCUCAGCCUGGCCAGCAACCAGCCCUCUUGGGGACAGGUCAGUCCUGGAUAAAACACUCUCAUUGCUCCCAGAUCUUGCUCUUUCUCAUCCCACUACCCCCAGCCAGCAUGGUCUUCUCCUACCAAUAAAGGAAACCCUUUCUGACCUAAGGAAAGAGCACCAUAUGAUCCAAAAACCCCAUUCCUGGGCAUAUACCCAGACUAAACUGCAAUUUAAAAAGAUCCAUGCACCCCUGUGUUCAUUGCAGCACUAUUCACAAUAGCCAAGACAUGGAAACAACCUAAAUGUCCAUCAACAGAGGAAUGGAUAAAGAAGAUGUGGUACAUAUACACAAUGAAUACUACUCAGCCAUAAGAGAAUGAAAUAAUGUUAUUUGCAUUGGCUGGAACUAGAGAUGAUCAUACUAAGUGAAGUAAGUCAGAAAGAGAAAGACAAAUACCACAGGAUAUCACUUAUGUGUGGAAUCUAAAAUGUGACACAAAUGAACCUGACUUCCUGUCUGUGAGUCUGACAGAAACAGACUCACAGACAAGAAGAACACACUUGUGGUUGCCAAGGAGGAGAGGGAAGGAGAGGGGUAGACUGGGAGUUUGGGAUUAGCAGAUGCAAACUAGUAUACACAGUACUAUAUAUAGGAAGAAUAAACAACAAGAUCCUUCUAUCGAGCACAGAGAACACUAUUCAAUAUCCUGUGAUGAACCAUAAUGGAAAAGAAUAUGAAAAAGAACGUAUAUAUAACAUAUAUAUAUAUCACUUUGCUGUACAGAAGAAACUAACACAAAACUGUAAAUCAACUAUACUUCAAAAAAAAAAAAAAAAAAGGAAACCAGAUUUCCUGCUAUGGCUCAGUGAUAACUAACCCAACUAGUAUCCAUGAGGAUGUGGGUUCGAUCCCUGGCCUCGCUCAGUGGUUAAGGAUCUGGCACUGCUGUGAGCUGCGGUGUAAGUUAUAGAUAUGGCUCAGAUCUGGCAUUGUUGUGGCUGUGGUUUAGGCCAGCAGCUGUAGCUCCAAUUCAACCCCUAGCCUGGGAACUUCCAUAUGCUGUAAGUGCGGUCCUAAAAAGAAAAAAAGAGAGAAAGAGAGAGAAGUUAAAAAAAAAAAAAAAAAAAAAAAGGAAAGGAAACCCUUUCUGACCAGAUGCCUGCAGACAAAGACUCAGAGCAAGAGUUCUGUGAAUGACACCUCCACCUUCAAGGCCCAGUGUGCUUCUUAUUUAACACUCAUCACAAAUGCUGUGUGUCUCAGGGAUCGAGGCAAUUAUUAAAGAAACACCUCUGCUUCCCAUCUUCCUCCUCUGCCAGGUAAACAGCACCCACCCUCCACCUCUCUCAGGCUUGUUCAGGGCCCAGGUCACUGAACAUGUUGCACAAAUAGGAUCCAAGAGACCAACAUCACCUUCAUCCCCGAGAGAAGGAAAUUCCUCAGGGGCCCUGUGUGUUGGAGUCGCGUCACUCUGCCGGACAGGAUGGGCGGAUUUAUGCAUUUAAACCACUGCCGAGGUUAAACACCAUUGCUGUGCCAGGAGAGGGGCCAAGUCUGCCAAGAUGAGGAUUUCAUGAUGAAGCAAAUUGCUGGCAUGGCUGCACUGGCCUCCAGCCCACAGGCCUGCACAUCAGUGGGGGCGAUGGGAGCUGCUGGGAGCCGGACCGCAUCUUCCAAGCCAGAGCGGCACCUGCCAGCUGGCCAGACGCCACGGGAGGGGCCUCGGCAGCCAGGGGCUAGGAAAGCAGAUGGCCUUGGCGACUCAGAGCAGCAAGGGUGUGAACUGGAAGUGGUGGUGGGAAGAGAGGAGUGCCCAGGAGGAAGGGGGCACAGCAAUGGUGGGGACAGGUGGGAGGGAUGGGCCGAAGUUUGCAUGAUGCCAUUUACCGUUCACAAUACUGCAGCCACCAGUUAGGAAGUACUUGCUUGUAACCAGAAUGAUGUGGAGAUUAGAGACCAGCUUCCCAGUGAAAGCACCAUGGACAAAGAGUAUGCAUUUUCUUUUCUGCUAAUUCCUUAAUAUUCUAACCUUUUUCAAAUUAAAAACAUCAUUAGUCUUCUUCACACUAAAAACCAUACAGGCACAUGUGUAUGUAUCAUAAUCUCUGCACAUUUCAGUUUGCAAUUUUUUUUUUGUAAACUAAAGGAAAAUUCAAAGAGGAAAUAUAUGUAAAAAGGUGAUCAUCAUGUCUUUGUUCCACACAAUCUGAAUGGUGUUUUUUUAACCAGAUAUUUACUUCUUUAAAAGCUCCCAGGUGACUGGAUGUUGGACAAAAGACAUAAAUGGGGAAGAAAACCAAUUCUUCUAAAGAUAAGACAAUUUAGGCAAAAUGGAAAGGUAAGAAGGAAAAAGAUUAAAAAUUAAGAAAUUUCCAAAACAAAACCAGACCAGAAAAGGAGGUCACUAGUGGCACAGACGGUUAAGGAUCUGGCAUUGUUACUGCUGUAGGACUGAAUCUGAGUCACAGCUGUGACCUGAGCCACUGCAGUCAGAUUCUUAACCAACUGCACUACAGUGGGAACUCUGAUGGGACACAUUUAUUAACCAUUUAACUUGCUUCAGAUCAUCCCCACAGCAAGAUAAAUGCCAACAAUUAGCACCCCCCAACAUAUGUAUCCAACAGUGAAUUAAACUAACAUUUGAAAUAGAGAGUGAUUUUAGAAAAUCACUACCAUAAGACCUAAAGGAGUGAGCCCAAGACCCCACACACUCUUAGCCCAUAGGUUAGAUGAACAGGUCCCCAUGGUCCACACCCAGGGGAGCAGAGACACACCAUAGAUAACUGAUUGGUUCAUGAAAUUAUGCAUAUUCCCAUCAUGCCUUGCAGCCUUUCCAGACGUGGUUCUCACCUCCUACCCUGGUCGCUGGUGGUCCUCCUUCCUGGAACUCACAUCAGACUCCUGCCCACCUUUGCCUGUCUGGUUUUCUGCACAGCCACGCAACCCCUAAGUCAUCCAUCAGGCCAUGGUAUUGACUGCAGGUUCUGCCUGUACGACAGAACCUGCAGUCAGUACCUGGGUGAUCUAAGAGUCCUGACUCCACUGGCCUCCUCCCGACCCUCCGCCCCACUGCACUCCCUCCCUUGUCAUUCUCCCUUGUCACUGUCACUCUUCCAACAUACUAAGCGUGUCCUGAUAGCAGGGAGCACAUGGAACAUUCUAGAACAUGCUACAACACUCUUCACUCAGGACCCUACUCCCCACUGAAACGCCAGCCCUCAGAUCUUCCCCAUCUAAGGGACCACCCUCUCUAACGAUCCAGGUCUGGCCCACGGAAGGUGCUUGGACACAAUUAGUGUGCAGACAAGGCACAUUCCGCCCCAAGAGCACCUAUGUGACUCAGACGCCAAGACCUCAGUUGGAAAUCCAAGUACUGAAAACGAUAUAAAAGGGCGGAGUUUUUCCUUCUAGGAGGGCAUGAGUUCACUGCCCUCGCUGGGAACCCGCCCCCCACCCCCACCCCGGUCACUAUGAGGUGCGUGAAGAACCCCACGGCCCAGAGGGAAGUAGGUCAUGGGAUGACUUUCUCCGGAAUUGGAUGCUCUGUAACUCACACGUAGUCCCUAGUGAGAGGGACGUGGUUGUGGUCAGAGGAGCAGAGUGGGGCUGAGGGGUACAAAUGGACUUCUCUCUCUGAGGUCAGUUCUUCAGACCCGCUGCCACCUGCUCUCCA